AAUCAUCGGCCCCUCUGCUGUAGGAUGGUCAGCUAUUACCAGUAUUUCGAUGCCUGGAUUGGUAAAACGUAACAUGUGCACGUGUAUAAUCAUUCAGCAUAAACACACAACAUUUGGUAACUGGAAAUACGUCCUUUUUAUCGUUGAAUUUUAAAAAGAUCAUCUUAACCCCUUGGCUUAUUAACGUUUCGCGGAUUUUAGUUUCUGUAAUAUUGUGACGUCAUAUAAGUACGUAGUGCAUCACCCAACAGUUAGGCCUGUUUGAAGACUGAUCAUUCACACAGCAAAAUAAUAUGUUGGCGAUUAAAAAAGUAUGGAGUUUUUAUUAUGCAGUGGAAAAACACCAGUUGUGAUCUUCUUGAAGCAAAGCUUCGUCCAGUGUAUCUUUAUCCUAUAGUAUGCGUUUUCAAGACGGGAAGUUCCAGCUGCAGAUUUAAGACACAUUGAAGAUUAUUUCUGGGAUUCGGGAUUUUCCAGUUUUGAUGUACAGCUUCUUUCUAAAUGUUGAGUGACACUCAGAUGGAAUCUACAGCAACAUUAGACUACAGUCUGUGAUGAUAUCCGAUUCUAUGAGACCUGAGUCUGUUUGUUAAAAUGGUGGCCAACGACCAUAUCAUAAGGCGAAGUACUGAGAACUGCACAGACUAAAUGGAUUACUUUAGGAAUCAAGAAGACAACAUUUUGACAAUGCAUAAAAGAUUCUACGCAAAUAAUUUUUAUCAAACUGUCUUU
This is a long non-coding RNA of Saccostrea cuccullata (small rock oyster), 732 nucleotides long. RefSeq lists it as uncharacterized. Lineage: Eukaryota; Metazoa; Mollusca; Bivalvia; Ostreida; Ostreidae. The record is from RefSeq and is a predicted model, not a curated record. The transcript has 4 exons.